UACGGAGGGUCCGAGCGUUAUCCGGAAUUAUUGGGUUUAAAGGGUUCGUAGGCGGCUAAAUAAGUCAGUGGUGAAAUCUCCUAGCUUAACUAGGAAAUGGCCGUUGAAACUGUAUAGCUUGAAUUAUUAGGAAGUAACUAGAAUAUGUAGUGUAGCGGUGAAAUGCUUAGAUAUUACAUGGAAUACCAAUUGCGAAGGCAGGUUACUACUAAUUGAUUGACGCUGAUGAACGAAAGCGUGGGUAGCGAACAGGAUUAGAUACCCUGGUAGUCCACGCCGUAAACGAUGGAUACUAGCUGUUCGGAUUUCGGUCUGAGUGGCUAAGCGAAAGUGAUAAGUAUCCCACCUGGGGAGUACGUUCGCAAGAAUGAA
Molecule: ribosomal RNA, 372 nt
Filed under: uncultured bacterium
Lineage: Bacteria
Description: bacterial SSU rRNA
Rfam family: Bacterial small subunit ribosomal RNA
Source: RNAcentral